Molecule: ribosomal RNA, 244 nt
Filed under: uncultured bacterium
Lineage: Bacteria
Description: partial 16S ribosomal RNA
Rfam family: Bacterial small subunit ribosomal RNA
Source: RNAcentral
AAGCGCGUCUAGGCGGUUUGGUAAGUCUGAUGUGAAAAUGCGGGGCUCAACCCCGUAUUGCGUUGGAAACUGCUGAACUAGAGUACUGGAGAGGUGGGCGGAACUACAAGUGUAGAGGUGAAAUUCGUAGAUAUUUGUAGGAAUGCCGAUGGAGAAGUCAGCCCACUGGACAGAUACUGACGCUGAAGCGCGAAAGCGUGGGUAGCAAACAGGAUUAGAUACCCUGGUAGUCCACGCCGUAAAC